UUUCAAUUGUGUCUGACUUGUCUGCGAUAUCCAGCUCCAACUCCUCAAGCAACGGGCAAUGAGAUAUUAAACUUUCCAGCAACUCAGAAGAAAUAUUGACUUCACAUAAUUUCAGGCUAAUUAACUUAUCAAAUCCUUGAAAGGCUGAUAGAUGCUGUAUUGAGCAAAAACAAAGACUUAGAUGCCUCAGCUGCGAACAUGAGAAAAGUGAAGAAGGCAAUCUGUAUUCCUUUCUAAGUGAAAGGUUAAGUACAAGAUGUUGAAUGUUAUUCCUCGAGAGGAAAUAUAUGAAGCUGUCGAUCUCGGGACAACUUGCUAGAUGAACAACAAAGAGGGUAAACUUAGUAAUGGGUCCUUCAUGAAGGCUCAAAAGCUGGUACAUGAUCUUUGUAAAUUUAACUGUAGGGUUCAGAAAAUCCUUUUCUGUUUUCCAAAGAGAUUCAUCAAUCUUCAACUCUGUAAGUCUACACCAGUGAUACCUCCAUUUCUUUGAUAAGAUGCUUGUCCUCACAGCGUCUUCAGAAGGCAAAUGCAUCAGAAUGAUAUCGAUUACGUUAUCAGGAAGGUAACUAAGGGCAUCGGGAAGUACACUUCGACGAUGCUUUAUUGCCUUAGGAGGCAUCAUAUAACAAUGAUCACCAAGAAGCUGUAGAAAGUAAGCAAUAAUAUGAAGUAAGGUAUCUCCAUGUGGACAUAACAACUAUUCACAUUAGCUGGACAGACGGCUAUUCACAAUGCCAAAUCAACAUAGGAAAUAAAAAUUUGUUAAUCUUAACCAUAAAUACCCAUAUGGUAUGAUAACAGUGUCAACAUUUACCAAUAAAUAAAUCCAUGUAUAUCUCUUGAUAUCCAUUAAUGGCAUUCUUAACAUGAACACCUUUCAUCAAUACUUCAUAAUUAUAUUGGUGGAUUAACAACAACUACUGCGCCUCAAUCCCAAAUAAGCCAGGAUUGGGUAUAUGAAUCCUCACUGACCAUGUUUCUACCUUUAAACUCACCUCAUGCCAUCAUUAUGCCAAAAAAAAAAAAAAAAAGUAAAAAAUAAUGGUAGUGAUCAAAAGCACACUUGACUAUCACUUAUUCGCGAGUUUUACACCUCAACUAUUAGGUGUUCCCUUUUCCUACCUUAACUAUUACCAUUAAUGUAUUAAAACACACCUAGUUGUGUAGAUGGUGAUAGUUCAAGCAGGAAAUGGGAACAACUGAUAGUUGGCUUAAACAUCUUUGAGAUGUGUUUUAAGACAUAGAUAGUGGAAGUCCAUGUAGAAAAAGGGAACAACCAAUAGUUGGGGUGUGAAACUUGCGAAAAAGUUAUAGUUUAGGUGUGUGUUUUACCAUUAACUCUAAAAAGCAAUAUUACAAGUUCUCUGGCACAUAAAUCUAUGAUAAUGUACAAUGAUUCACCCUUGAUGCUCAUUUUUUUCUUGAUUUCGAGUUUAUGUGAGAUGACGAUGAGAAUGAGAAGAGGUGCACUGGGAACACGACAGAGAAAGAGAGUUACUUUAUACAGUACACGCCAGAAAACUGAAGACCCUCAAUUUUCACUCCCAAGUUCGACACGACAUAGAAACAGAUAUACACAGUGAGUGGAAAAGAAUUAGCCUCAAUUUUCUGAAGAAGAAAACAAGGGGAAGGCUAAAAGACUCCUAUAACAGUAAAGAAAAAGAGUGAAUAGGUUAAAAAUAUCUUAAACUAUCACCAUUUUGCGAGUACCAAACCAGAAUUAUUCGUCCCUCACAGAACCCUAUGAACUAUCAUGAUUUCAUAUUAAAAUACCCCGGGAGUAAUAUGACAUGCUACACGAACACCACACUCCAAAGAGUUCUAAGUCGCAGUAGACGUGGAAAAGAUAUUGAGUGAACAUGUUAAAUUAACCUUCCCUAUGCCAACUUGCACUAAACUCCACUAUGCCACCAUGUACCUGCUACCUCCCAUCAGCACACGUAUCUCACUACUACACCCCCCACCUGACUCUGCUGGAAUUUGAACCAUCCAAAAAACAAUAUUUUUACAAGAUUUUUCGGACAAACAUAAAUAGUUUCUUAUGCUUUGAAACCAAAAACUACAUAAAGGAAGUAACUUUUAUUGACUUAACAAACACAUACAAAUACCAAAAGGAAACCAACAACUAAACCAAGAGCGUAUCUAUAUGCUAAUUAUAGGACACAUAAAUCCAUGGUCUCUUCAUAAAACUAAAUGGUGCACUUGGUUGAAAAUGUUGAGUUAUUUACCUAGACAAGUUGGGAUCAGUCCAUGCUUAAUACAUUUUCUUCUUUUUUACUAGUGUACCCAUGUUCUAAAAAUCAUAAAUUCGCCUCCAAGUCUUAAACACAGAGUAUUGAAACAUAAGAAGAUACAUACACUUAUUUCAGAGAUUGUAAGUUCAUCAAAAGAGGGAAAUGAUAACCAAAUUAUAGUGGAAAAAGAUUUAAAGCUUACCAAGGAAUCAGCCCUUUUUCUCUUUGGACUUUUGUCAAACACCUUAUGCCCUAUUUGUAAAUUUCAAAUGUUUUAUCCUAAUUUAGGGCAUGGGGCUUGGGAGGGAGAGAGGGAGUUGGGGAAGUACUUUAUAUAUUCACAAAGAAAGUGAUUUUAUACUUUUUAACAUUAAAACACGAGUGUCGGGUUGGAGUCAUGGAUAUAAUAACGGUGGAAAGAAAACGGUAAAACGAAAAAGAAAACAUUUUAAUUUAAAACUUCUCAAAUAGUGUGUUAGGUGAAUAGAGAUCAAGUAAAAUGAAAUAGGCUGAAGUAGAAGUAAGUAGGGGUAUAUUUGGAUCUAUUUAAUUGUUUUGAAGGGUAUAUUUGUACUUUUUUAUUUCUAAAAGAGUGAAAAGGUCAAAAACACAACCAAAAUUAUUUUGAUAUUUUUAUUUUUCUAUCUGAAUUAUUACCAAUUAUUUACCAAAACGCACUUCAACAUCAUUGUUCUCUUUUCCUACCAGAAAUAUUCACAUGAGAGGCGACUAUACUCGGAUUUGUGUUGACAAAUUUCACAUUUCAGGUGAAAUGGCCAACGAAGACACUUCAUACCUAAAGCUUAAAUCCAAUACCUUUGAUUAUCAAUCCAUUAAACUUGUUAGUAAAUUGCAUUUAAACACUUAAACUAUAUUAUGUUUUAAUUGAGUACCUAAUAAACCCAUGAUUAUUCAUACUAUACUUUCAACUUAACUUUGGGGGAGGGGAUUGGGGGAUAUGCUUGUGUUCUCAAGUGCCCAUUACGUAGAUACACUAACCACUUAAAAGAUGUCACCUAAUUAUACACAUUAAUCUCAAUAAGCCAAAGAAACCAAAAAAAACAUCCUCUUCAUUACCUUCAAGUUGUGCCAUAUAUGCAAUUGAUCAAGUAGAGAAAUAAACAAGUGUGUCAUACUACUACAUCACGUUUGUUUCUCUUUUCAGACUUCUAACUUCUAAGCCAAAGAUCCGCCUAAAUCUAUGUAGACAACUUCUGCUUUAGGUGAUGACCGCGAAAAAUUUGAUAUAUCUGCGAAUAUUUGUAAUCUUGUGUCGAGCUGUUCAUGAUCAAGAUACUGUCGAUCGAUUAGCAUUCUCUCCAACACUGGGGACUCGGCUAACAAAAAUUUGAUAAGCAGCAACUCAGACGUUGUUCCUGUUAAGCAGCCUAGCUUAACUUCCUUGAGGUGAUUAAAUGUCACAUCCGAUAAAUGUUUGAGCUCAAGGGGUUCUGGAAUAGGUUCAUCCUCAUCAUCUUCAUCUUCAUAGUCAUAUCCAUAUUCAUGAACCUAAGAAAGAUAACAAGAAGUUAACUCAUAUAUUAUUGAGGAAAGAAAGAAAGAAAGAAAUUAGAAGAGCCGAAGUACUAAGAACCUGUAUUUCGAGAUAUUCUAAAUAUGGGAAACUUCUUAUCAAGCAAAGAGCAUAUGAGAGCUUAUAUGAUUCCACCAGCAUAAUGUCAGGCAGGGUAAAUCGUUUGACGCUGUUAAGAUUAAACGGAAGUCUUGUUGGUGCUUCAUAUCCUGCUCCAGCAGAGAACUAGGAAACAAUUACCGAAAAUCAAGAUUAAGUCAGCCCAAAUGAAAUUUCAUCCACUAAAGUUAUAAUAAUGAAGUCAUCAAGCAAUAUUUACCCCGGAAUCAAGGGAGAAAAAGAGGAGGUGCUCGAGAGCAGGACAACACUCGAAAAGCUUUGCAAAAUCAAGAUCCUCUGCUUUAAUAUAGUCACCAUAGAGCAAUACUUUUACCAGACGAGGGACAUUCUUUAGGCAGACAGAACUUAUAUUGCCUGAGAGAUCGAACGACCUCAACAUGGGGGCAUUAAUUUCAAUUGUGUCUGACUUGUUUGCGAUAUCCAGCUCCAACUCCUCAAGCAACGGGCAAUGAGAUAUUAAACUUUCCAGUAACUCAGAAGAAAUAUUGACUUCACAUAAAUUCAAGCUAAUUAACUUAUCAAAUCCUUGAAAGGCUGAUGGAUGUUGUAUUGAGCAAUAACAAAGACUUAGAUGCCUCAGCUGCGAACAUGCGAAAAGUAAGGAAGGCAAUUUGUAUUCCUUUCUAAGUGGAAGGUGAAGAGCAAGAUGUUGAAUG
RNAcentral lists this long non-coding RNA (4547 nucleotides) under Solanum tuberosum (potato). RNAcentral's name for it is "long non-coding RNA (STUB_LNC010367)". Lineage: Eukaryota; Viridiplantae; Streptophyta; Magnoliopsida; Solanales; Solanaceae. The record is from RNAcentral.